GAGGAGCUGCAGCAGUAACAGGACUCACACGGCAGAGGUCCUGGGCACGCAUGGUGUGACCUCCGUGAGGAUGCCACAUUGAUCCUAUGAAUUAUGAUCCACAUUUCAGAUGAGGAAACGUAGUCUCGUGCUGACUGUCACAUCCAUCCGUGCCCACAGGUAAUUGAUGAAGCCAGGUUGCAAGUCCACACUGUCCUUUCAAGGUGCCAACUGAACUGAGAAAUCCCGUCUACAGAGCAGUGAGGAGUAAGAAGUGGAGAUUCCGUCUAAAUGGCAACACAGUCCUUGAGUGUCCCACUCCUCCCCACUUUUUUUAUGGAAAAUUUUCUGUUUGCACCACACAU
Molecule: long non-coding RNA, 344 nt
Organism: Tupaia belangeri chinensis (Chinese tree shrew)
Lineage: Eukaryota; Metazoa; Chordata; Mammalia; Scandentia; Tupaiidae
Exons: 3
Source: RefSeq, a predicted model, not a curated record